This 251-nucleotide ribosomal RNA is filed under the name uncultured bacterium. RNAcentral's name for it is "partial 16S ribosomal RNA". It matches the Rfam family "Bacterial small subunit ribosomal RNA", at positions 524 to 776 of the family's 1533-position model. The record is from RNAcentral.
UACAGAGGGGCAAGCGUUGUUCGGAAUUAUUGGGCGUAAAGGGCGCGUAGGCGCCUGGCAAGUGGAUGGUGAAAUCCCUCGGCUUAACCGAGGAACUGCCAUCCAGACUGCUUGGCUUGAGACCGGGAGAGGUGAGUGGAAUUCCCAGUGUAGCGGUGAAAUGCGUAGAUAUCGGGAGGAACACCGGUGGCGAAGGCGGCGACCUGGACGGACAUUGACGCUGAGACGCGAAAGCGUGGGGAGCAAACAGG